RNAcentral lists this non-coding RNA (181 nucleotides) under Lachnospiraceae bacterium. RNAcentral describes it as "6S RNA". It matches the Rfam family "6S / SsrS RNA". Rfam says of the family: E. coli 6S RNA was the first non coding RNA to be sequenced, but its function was unknown until recently. It consists of 184 nucleotides that fold into an extended hairpin structure with a large single-stranded internal bulge. Lineage: Bacteria; Bacillati; Bacillota; Clostridia; Lachnospirales; Lachnospiraceae. The record is from RNAcentral.
CUCAACCUGAAAUGCAGAUGAAUGCUUCUACAAUUUUGAACCUACAUCUACGUUUAUGGGAUUCCUAUAUUGCAGUUUGGAUGUCAAGCCUCCGUUUGCAGUGGAAGGCAGAAGAGCUGUUGCGGUUGCCCACCUAGCUUUCGCUAGGCGUCAAAAGUAGGAGUUGCAUUUUGGGCUUUUU